RNAcentral lists this ribosomal RNA (253 nucleotides) under uncultured bacterium. Its description in RNAcentral is "partial 16S ribosomal RNA". It matches the Rfam family "Bacterial small subunit ribosomal RNA", at positions 524 to 776 of the family's 1533-position model. The record is from RNAcentral.
UACGAAGGGGGCUAGCGUUGUUCGGAAUUACUGGGCGUAAAGGGCGCGUAGGCGGUGCUUCAAGUCAGGCGUGAAAGCCCCGGGCUCAACCUGGGAACCGCGCUUGAGACUGGAGCACUAGAGUUCGGGAGAGGAUGGUGGAAUUCCCAGUGUAGAGGUGAAAUUCGUAGAUAUUGGGAAGAACACCGAUGGCGAAGGCAGCUAUCUGGACCGACACUGACGCUGAGGCGCGAAAGCGUGGGGAGCAAACAGG